AUGUGAGGGUGAUCUUGCUGUGACAUCUGUCACCUGAUUGACUACCAGGAUUGAUUUGGCUGAUCUGGCUGGUUAGGCAGGUGUCCCCUUCCUCCCUCACCUCU
Molecule: small RNA, 104 nt
Filed under: Castor canadensis (American beaver)
Lineage: Eukaryota; Metazoa; Chordata; Mammalia; Rodentia; Castoridae
Description: 7SK RNA (ENSCCNG00000015821.1)
Rfam family: 7SK RNA
About the family: 7SK was discovered as an abundant small nuclear RNA in the mid-70s but a possible function has only recently been suggested.
Source: Rfam by way of RNAcentral